AUGCUUUUACUUGAACAAUCUGAGCAAAUAACCUUGCAAAAAUCAAAUUAUAAAUUUAUAGCAAAAUGCAUGUGAUCAAUGAUGGAUGCAUCUCAUUUCAUGGUAAACAAUCCGCAUGGUAGGUGAACGAUCCCAUAUUCACAUUGUUAUAUGUUUCAAAAAAUUUAGGGAUACAAUUCCAAGCUUAGCCAGUAUAAUAUUUUAUCGUGAGAACAAGUAACAUAGAAAACUUCUUGAAGAACCUUUUAUUUCUUUAAUGUAUAAGCACAUGAAUUCUCAAUUAAUUUUGCAUCAUAUUUGAAUUGAGAUGGUCAAUGGGUCAUGCCAAGAUAUAUAUUUCAUAUAAAAUUUUUGUUUACUAUCGCAUAUGAAUCCAUCACCAUGCCCAUAUUUAUACCAAUAAACACGAGGGAAACAAGUAGUUUUUCACAUAAAUAUUUAUAAUUCAUUUUAAUCGUAGUAAUAUGAAGAUAUAAAAGUUUUCAAUAAUUUAUAGCACAAAAUAAUAAUAAGUUUGUUUUCUUGAAACUUAAAAAGUUUCUUUUAGAGACUUGCUACAAUUCCAAAGUUGAAAUAAUAAUUACAUCACAUAAAUUAUCUCAAUUCAAAAAAUAAAUCUUUCAGCCCAUAUUCACUUAAACAUUAUUUGAUAUAUAUAUAUAUAUAUAGAGAGAGAGAGAGAGAGAGAGAGAGAGAGAGAGAGAAGAGGCAUGAUAGUAUAACUUUUCGAACAUAAAAUCAACACAAUUUCAACAACAUAGAGAAAGAUAAACACAAUCUUAAAAUCAUAAAUUGGUUAGAAUUUCAUGAUGAUAACAUUUUAAAAUUAAUUUAAAAUAGUAGCAAUACCAAAGAAGUAGACAAGAAAAUAAGGAAGGCAAGAGAGGAGAAUAUAAAUCUUUCCCAUUUUUUCAAGUAUUUUCCUAGUUUACGAGUAUUCCAGGUGUAUCUUCCAUUAUCUAAUAUAAACCUGUUACAAGAGGGUAAUUGUAAGGUUACUUUAAACAUGACAUUAAUACUUGAGAAUGUGAUAAAGAUCAUGAGAGUGUGGGAGAGGUAAUAGUGGUAUGGAUAUUUACUGCACAUAAUGAUGGAGUUACACCUUAGAAUUAAUAGUCAUCCAUAGUGAUAUUCUUUACAACAUAUUAUAAAAUAUCUCUGCAUAUAAAUUUAAGAAUUAUAGGUGAAUAUCUAUAAGGACUUGAUUCUUUGAAUUUUUUAUAUGUAUUUUUCACCAUUUUACCUCUUACCAUGGUUGCUACAGGAUAGUUUUGGGGUAUGGAAAUGGUUGACAUAGUUUUCAAUGCAAUUUUAGAGGUUAAAAAGGUCUUACAGAUGACUUCGGUUAACAUUUAUUGUUCUACAAACAUUGGUUUGAUUUUGUGGCUCUUGGAUCUCAUUUUGACUCUUGAUUUGAAAAUGGUGAAAUUGGAUCCUGGAGGUCAAUUUCCUGAAAACAACCUCUUUUAAAAAAUUUGAUGUCGCCAUUGAGUCCGAAAUGCCAAGUUUGGUGUAGUAGCAUAUUUUAUUUUCCUUCACAAAAUUUCAAACGAAUUCUGAGGAUACAUCUUCAAGUUUCAAUUUUUAGCUAAGUUGUUGGUGCAACUAACCUGUUGCUUUGUCUUUAGCGACUGAUGAGUGGUGAAUUACCACUCAUUUACACUCAACAUUCGUACACACUACUAUGAUUUGAAUGUAAAAGUGAGACACAUUUGGAAUUAAAUAUACUAAUUCCUAUAUUUUAUAGGUAUACAAGAGCCGAGAAGAAAAGAAGCAAGCUUGAGCUAAAAAGGAUCAAAAAGGAAAUUAAAGUGCAAGAGCUGGAUAAGCUAAAGCUGGAUCAGGAUCUGGCCCUCCGGCAUCGCGAUCACGGGCUUCAUCCUGCGAUCGCGCCCAGUCAAGCUAGUCAAACAACUGCGAUCGUGAUGGACUAACCGUGAUUUCCAAAAGGGCGAUCAUGAUCAAUCUUUAUCGAUCACGUGAGAGUAGAAAAUGGCCUAAGGGCAGAAAUGUCAUUUUUACUAGCCGACCCAAAAUCCUAUUUAAGGCACAAAACCCAUUCAUUCUAGAGAAAUUAUACCACAACCCUACUUUCCAUCCUAAGUAUAGGGUUUUUGUAAUUUCUUGGAGCUUGGAAUGUAAAUUUACACUAAUUUGAGACAAGAUUAAAUUAGAGGAGCUUUAAAGUGUAAAUUUGAUUUUGUCUAUUAAAGAUUCACUUGAGUCUAAAGUGUGGUUUGUCCUCUAUUUAUUUUUUU
Molecule: long non-coding RNA, 2258 nt
Filed under: Capsicum annuum
Lineage: Eukaryota; Viridiplantae; Streptophyta; Magnoliopsida; Solanales; Solanaceae
Description: long non-coding RNA (CANN_LNC010321)
Source: RNAcentral